Long non-coding RNA from Pongo pygmaeus (Bornean orangutan), 17880 nucleotides. RefSeq lists it as uncharacterized. NCBI's taxonomy places the organism in Eukaryota, Metazoa, Chordata, Mammalia, Primates, Hominidae. The record is from RefSeq and is a predicted model, not a curated record. The transcript is spliced from 2 exons.
UUCCCUCAAAGCCGGUCUUCCCGCGCGGGCGCCCCCGCUGCCGCUAGGCCGCCGUCCCCCGCGCGCCCUGGCCGCGGGACCCCGGGCCUUCCUGCACUCCUCGGAGGAAGCCGGGGCGGCGGGUGGGCUGCGGGCGUCCGCGGGGAGGGGGCGCGCGUGGGCCGGCCGGGCCCGGCCGCGUGCGCGCGGGAGGCGGGGGUGUGCCUGAGCGUGUGCGCGGUCUGGGAGGGUGUGCCUCGCAAGCGGCCGGCCGGGCUGGGGGGCGGGGCGGCCCGAGCGGGCCCCGACCGCGAUCCCGGCGCCGGCCCGCGGGAGUCCAGUGGAAGGUCCGCGGGAGGACACGCGCGAGCGCCCAGCCCGGCUCCGGCCCGUCCCCGCCAGUCGUGAAGCUGCCUCGUCGCCGGCCCCGCCGCCGCCGCCUGCUCCGUCCCGCUCCGCCGCCCACCGGCUGCCGCCGCCCGCCUCCGCUCUAGCGCCCACCGGCCGCCCGGAACGUCCGCGCCCAAUAAAGCGUUCCUCCAAAGCGUGUUUGUGCGGUUGUCUGUAUCCCGGUCUCUUGCAAUCGCUCUCAUGUUAAAAAAAAAUCUUUGACUUUUCUUUUUCUGACUUCAGCGAAAAUCCCGCUCCGGGUGUCCUUAGCCCAGUUUCAUUCAUCCAAGUUGUGGCCUUUCUUGCGCCUCCAGAAGACACUUUCUUCCCCCUGCUUUUGAUUGAUCUUGAGGUGUGAUAAAACAAAAAUCAUUGUACCACGUCCGAACUUUGUAAGCACAGCUUCCUACAGCACUAGAGGAGUGGACGCAUUUUUACAUUUGAAAUCAGGCUCCGGGUCAAUUGCGAGGAGUAUUACCAAGUUUGGUUGAACUUAAGCUCAAUUGAUAAACUAACAAUCACGGAGCGUCGGGAGGUUGUUAGGAAGUGUGCUUUGCAUACUGUUAACUGGGAAAGGACGCCACUGCCUCUCUAUGAGGUCUAGACAGCCUGGACAGACAUGCCAUUGUGUCCCCCAGCUUGUUCUUCAUGGAUUUGGAAGAAGUUAAGAUAGUAUCGUUCAGCCUCUUGAAUAUUCCUCUUGGCCCUCCUCCUUCCUUACCAGCAUAUGUAACUCAGAAAGGAUAGAAGCAGUGAAAACAAAGCAUUAUUAAAAGGGAAGAUUUUUAAUUAGGUGGAAGUUGUUUAAGCCCUCCCUUUAACGUACGUGUUUUAGGAAGUGUAGAACUUGGGAAAUUCGUUACUGAAAUAUCUUUGGUUUACUUUCCUUGUCUUGGGGAGGUAGCAGGUGACAUUGAAAGAGGCAACCUGUAGGCAAUAAUAUUUGCUUAUUCUGUAACCCUUUGAAACCUUUGAAAUGAAGACUUGCCCUCCCCUUUGUUUUUGCCAUAGUUGCCAAGUAUCUUGGUUAACAUAGUUGCAAGUAUUAAGUGUAUUUCUUUUACCAUAUUUUUUUAUGUCCUGUAAUAACAUAGCCUUUGGAUGUGGAGCACCCAUUUUUCACUCUAGUUCAGAUCAACCGAGUGUAAUUUGGUUAAAAUAAUAAAUAACCCUCCUUGAAGUUUUCGCAUGAGGGAAGGGGGCAAAAAAAAAAGCCCUAGAAAGUAGAUAAUAAAGGUGAACUGCCUCUUGGAGAAAGAGGCCCCAUGGCAGUAGAUAGAAGGUUGUAACACUUGUGACUUAUGUACAAUGGCGAAGUUAUGUUGAGGAGAUCCUUGACCUAAAUAAAGUAAUAUUAAACAACAACUUCUCACUUAUUUGUUCAAAAACCUAUCUGUAGCUUGUAAAUAUGGCACAAACACAAAGACUUCCAGGUUUUAGACCAGUUUGCUUGCUUUCAGUUUAGGAAAAUAGGAUUCUAAAAUAGGAUGAAUAUUUUGGGGGAAAGGAAUUUAAAAAGUUAACUCUAGGUUUAUGAAAUGAAAAAUGCGACUGUGAGCUUGCACACCGGUAGCAGGCCUUGGAGAAACCACAGUUCUAACCUGAGGCACUUUGUGCUUCUGUUGCAAGAAGGGUAUUAUUGAAGCUCCUCAGUUCAAAGUUGCGUAUCUUUCACGUUUUUAGAUUCUUAAGUGUAUACCUCUUUACCCCUUUAAUAUGAUGUUUUCCUUUCCUUCCCCAAAUCAUUUAUGCAUCUUGGAAUUGAGGAAAAUGCUGUGUUAGGCAACUUUAACAGCGGAUAUGGAAGUUAAGAAACUAUAGUUUUUCCAGCCUUUGGACUCCCAGAGCUGCUCUCCUGUUUCUUCUCCGUAGUACUCAACCUGGAGAGCAUUCUUAGUCUGUUUGGAGAAUAUUAACUCCUCCCUGUCCUCAUUACUUUUUUUUGACCGUAGCUUGACUCCUUUAAAUUGAGCUUACAAAGUUUUAAAAUUUAAAAUACAGGCCCUGUGUUGGCUGCCAAAGUAUCUGGAUUGUAGCAAAGUCAGUUGCGGGAACCCCCAUUGAAAGAUUUCAGAGUGUAUUAUGUAGAAUAAGUCCUAUUGAACUAUACAAUUGUACAAUUAGUCACCCAGAAAUUCCAAUACUGUUUUUCUCAGUUUGCAAGUAGGAGUUGAUUAUGAGUAUCUACUUUUGUACUUCCAAGUUUGGGCAUUUAUGAAUGUAGAUACUAGUCUUUGUAAGAAGAAAUUUAUUUUCAGGUACCAUUUAGCUUGAUUUUUAAAAAAUGUGUAUAUAAAAAAAGUUAUUUCCGUGUUCUCCCUGCUUUAGCGUGAAAAGUAGUUAAAAGUGUGGUUAAAUUCUGAACUAUGACAGUAAAAUAAUGGAUGUUGUGAAACUAGGCCUUUAAAGGUGACAAGCAAUUUGAAAAACUAGUUGUUUAGACCAGUCUUAGACCAUAUUUAUAGAAGAGUCCCUGGAAUAAAAAGAUUUUAAAAGUCCUGUUACACCCAUAUCAGAUAGCAUCAAGAGAGUUUUAUUCACUUCUGGAAAACACAGUAUUCAAAGGCUGUAAUGUGAAAGGACAUAGCCACAAAGGAGAGACCAAGGCUGCAGUCCCAGGUAGCCUCAUUUCAGUGUGAGGAAGGCCUUCUCUGACAAUGGAAAAAGAAAUGGAUUGCCUGUGAGAUGGUGAGGUCUAUAUCCACCUCCACCCUGCCCCCCUGCAAUGAGAACUUUGAGGUAGAUGAGGAGAAGGGGUCAUGUGUUUGGUGAGUGAGCUCUCUUGAGAGUGGGAAAAUGGUUGAAGCCCUUUGGUUUCACUUGAUAAUUAGAUUUUAAAGGUUGGUGUUUCAGUUAGGUAAAAGACUGAAGUGCCAAUACGUGAAUGGUAAAGCCGCAUACUGUGUAAGGUAGAGGAGCUUAGGAAAAAAAUGAAACUUUGUAGACACUUUUUAUGCCUUGGGUAUACAGGAAGAAGAAAUCUGAGGAAAGAAAUCUGUGCAAUACAUAAUAAGUAUUUUGUGGUUACUUACGUUAGGAACGCUAAUUACGUCUCAUGCCCUUUUCCCAGAAGGUGUUCACAGUUGGCAUAGAUUGUGAAAGCCCUGGGGUAAUACUUUUCCUGAAAUCUUCUCAUUGGCGUUCAGGAAUUUUUACGUGAAGAAUUAAAGGUUAAUGGCUUAAUAACUAAUUCACUUGCUAUAUGAUUGCAUUGCAUGUACAAUAAGAUAGCAUUUAUAUAUAUAUCUUCAUAUAUUUUUCUAAUAGGAAUAAAGAAGAUAGCUAUUUUGGAAAUCCUAAAUUCUUAUUAAAACAAACUAAUUUUUAUGUUUAAUACUCAAUGCAGAUUAUAUUUUACAUUUAGAUAACUCAUUGAAAUAGUACUUUGGUAGGGUAAGGAGUUUUGUGUAAUCUAAGUUCUGACUUGGUUUAAUUUGAAUAUAGAAAAGUAUAAUCAGUUCCUAAAAUGUAGAAAACAGUUGGUUUUCUGGUAGAGUGAUGAAGAAUUUUUCUCUAAACGCAAACCUUUUAUGAUUAGCAACACCUGGCAAAAGUUUUGUAUUUGUUCUAGAGUUCUUUUCAAGUUAGGAUGUUCUGAAAGUAAUGCCUAUGAGGUGCCUGUAUUUUAAAUACCUUUUGGAGAUGGAGAGUGUCAACCCUAGGUCCUUGUAGUUUGCUUGGCAACCAUUUGAUAACUAGGAAAUAGUGAAGUUUCUGCUCUGUGUUGGUGGGAGACAUCAGUUCAAACGGAAACAUGUAGCUGUCAAGUGGUCAAGUCUUUUUAGUCUUUUUUUUCUUCCCGUGGGCCCUCCCUAAACAGCUUAGCCUUGUAUCUUUAAUAAUCUCUCUUUGUGUUUUAUCUGCUUGAAACCAGGCAACUUAAAAUAGUUACCUAGUAAUGGAAGACUUGACCCUGUGAACAAUGUUAUACUUUCAUUUGGUAUUAAAUUUUCUUGGGUUACAGCUUAUUGCCGCAGCAAGCUAUUGAAGAAGGAAGGAGUCCUGUUCCUGCCCCUGAGCUACAGCUAAGGUACAAGGAAUGGCUUGGGGGUAAGGAGUCCUUCCUCACCAGAUAUGGUUUGUAUGUAUGAAGACUGCUGGUCAGAAGUUGACAUUUUGCACUAAUUUUUUUUCUUAAUUCAUGACUCACACAUUCAAUACUGAUGUUUCUAGAUUUUAAAAAUCUAGGUUGUAUCUAGUAUUAUAUGCAGACUGCUAUUGAAUCUUCUAACCUUUUAGAUUAUAAAAUCAGUUUCAAAAAAUUAAGAGUUCAAAAGCAAUGACAGGGAAGUCCUGAAGUAAUGUUUUUCAUCUAGCGCCUUUGCUGUGUUUGUACUACUACGUGUUUGACUCAUCUAAAAGAAACCUGGACUACCAGAAUGGGGUUUCACAUGAAGGUGGAAGGAAGGGUAGAGAACAGAUGAUAAAAUACUGUGUGAUUACUCAUGUUAUAAAAAGCCGUUGCAAUUUAAUUAUCAGACUUUUCCUAUUUAAUGUUCUUAGCUUUGUGUUAGAAUUUCCAAUAUACUCAUGAGUUUAUCUGUUGUUAGUGGAAGGCAAUAUUUUUAAGACACGUGUUAUCAACACAUGUAGUUACCUCUUAGGGGAAUCCUUAUUUAAGGAAUUAGUCAAAUGAAUGUCUGGUAGGUUAGCAGUUUGUCUAAAGGAAGAACUACCCUUGGGUUUGGAAAGUGACAGUUAAUUCAGCCUCUUAUCCUUUUUGUUGCUUUGAAAUUAGAGCAAGAGUUGGCAGCCUGUGGCUUCCAGGCCAGAUCUGACCUGUCACCCAUAUUUUUAUGGCUUGUGAAGUAGGAAAACAUUUUACAGUUGAAUAGGUGGGAAAAAAAACAGCAAUACUUUAUGACACUUGAAUUUCAUAAAACUUUCACGUUUCAGAGUCCAUAAGUCAAGUUACAUUGAACAUGACCCUGUUCUUUUGUUUAUAUUAUCUAGUCCUUUACAGAAGAAAUGUGCCAUCCCCUGAUUUAGAGUAUAUAGACACAAUUUUCUAGGUGCAACAUUUUUCUUGGCUUCUUAUGGUGCCGUUUUCUGAUGUUACUCUCUUGAUUUCUCCCUCCUUUCUUUUUUUUUUGAGAUGGAGUCUUGCUCUGUUGCCUAGGCUGGAGUGCUGUGGCGCGAUCUCGGCUCACUGCAACCUCUGCCUCCUGGGUUCAAGCGAUUCUCGUGUCUCAGCCUCCUGAGUAGCUGGGAUUACAGGCAUGUGCCACCAGACCCAGCUAAUUUUUUUUUUUUUUUUUUUUUUUUUUUUUUAAGUAGAGAUGGGGUUUCACCAUGUUGGCCAGGAUGGUCUCAAUCUGACCUCAUGAUCUGCCUGCUUUGGCCUCCCAAAGUGCUGGGUUUACAGGCCCUCUUCUCUUUAUGUACAAUUCCUUUAACCUUCAUGUGGAUGAUUUGCCGCCUUUUUUAACAAGCUGACAACUCUGGCAUUUCCUGUUGUCUUCUGUGCUGGUUAUGGCCUCUUGGGUAUCCCCUUGGCACUGCAAACUCAGUGUGGUUAAGAACUUAAUGUGUUGCCUGUCCCCAAAGUUGCCUCUGUUAUUGCUUAUUUCUGUUUAUCGCUUCUCUGUGUUCUGUCAUCUGGGGCUGAACAAAUCCAGUUCUCUUUUCCUGCAGUCUCAAUCCCAUAUAGUCUUCUCUGCCCUAGUUGAACUGCUCAUGUUGUUUGUUUCUUCCUUGGAAUCUUGCAGUUUCUUAGCUGGUCUCCUGACAUACUACUGAGGGGAGGAUAGCUAAUACCUGUAAAUACACUUGUAGUGCAAAUAUAUGUCCUUGAGAUACUUUAAAACACCUAAGUAGGUGCACUUAUAGCAAGGAAAUAGUAGAAAGCCUUGUUUAAGUGAUGGCUUUCUGAUUCCCAUACUAAUUGGUUGUAUCAACACUGUUGCCGAAUUACUGCAUACUUCUCAUUUUCAAAUACAUGCAGGAUGAAGUCGCAUCCAAGGCUGCCUCAGUAUGACUCCCAACUUAUUUUUUUAACCUCAUCUUUCAGUUUUUUUCCACUUAAUUUUAUAUGCCCAGUAAACAAAGUUGUGCAGAUUCUUAUAAAUACCAUUACCUUUUAUUUUCUUUGGUGCUGGCAUCAUGCUGUUUUUCUGUUUGGAACACCCUCCCUUUCCACAGUACCCCACCACCUCCAUGAAAAACCAGUCUCAUGUUCUUCCAAGUUCAUCUUAACUCAUUUGGUACAUUAAACAAAUGUCAAGGGCCUGCACCAUUGGGAGUAUAAUAGACUAAUCUUUCCUUUGGUUGCAUGAAUCUCAUCACAUGUCUCCCAUCACAUGGAUCACUUUCUACUUUGUAUUACAAUUAAUUGGUGAAUAUGUUUUACCUCCUUUGCUAGAUUACAAAUUCUUGAGAGCUCAGUCUUUCAUGUCUGUUCUGCUAUGCUUUGCAUAUAUGGUAGAUAUUUACUAAGCUGCCUUGAGGGGUUACUACUCUCAUCUCUAUUAAACAGUUAUUUGCUGUGGUACAGCGUGUUGACCUCGUGCUAGUAGUUUGCUUACAAGUCAGUGCACUUCGCUCGCGCUGGGUGAGUUGUAUGUUACCAGAAGUUGUGUUGAUUUCCAAGACUAUUUUGUGACAGGUAAUCUUGUUUCCAUAAAAUAAUUUAAAUAUCAUGUGAGCUGAUGAAAUGAGUGCAAACCUUUGUUUCCUGAAAACCAAGUUGGAUUCUUUGGGAAGACUUGAUAAAAGGUGAGUCAUUAAAAUAAUGACUGUAGAAUUAGAUAUGGCUGAAAUAACUCAAAGUUUGGGAAGAAAAAUAACAACAGGAGGAUUCUGUAUGUGGAGUGUUUUACAAGGAUCUUUUAAACUUUCCACUUUAAUGAAGCUGAAACUGGAAAUUGUAGAUAAUGCCAUUUGUAGAUGUCGUUUAGAUCAAGCAGAAGGAACUCAAAUCAUCAGGGAACUCCAGGUCAUCGAUUCCAUUCUCCAAGUGCUUGUCAUGACCCCCAUAUUGAGGUUGGCAAAUAAAUGUAUGUUUAUGUGUUGAAUAAAAUAGUUAAUAAAAUACUUAAGGUACGUAUAUAUGGUUUUAUGACUGGAUAUGGCUUUGGGUAUGAAGGCUUCUGCUUUAUAGAAAAAGUGCUGAUUUUUUUGUUUUCUAUUAUAAAUUAGUAGAAAAACCUUGUAAGAUCUGAAAUGAAGAUACUGGAUGUGUUACCGUAGAAUAAACAAAGACUGGCAUUGGGAGACUAGAAGGAGCUUUAGAGGCAGAUGGGACUGGGUUUUGGAUUCUAGCACCUACUUCCUAAGGACUUUAACCUUUUGGAUCCUCAGUUCUUUCUUUGUAAAAUGGAAGUAAUUCAUUAGGGAGGGCAUUUGAAGAUAAAGUGGUUAUGUGACCUUGGAGGUAAAGUGUAGUUCUGUUGUUAAAGUAGCUUUGUGGUCUUAGGCAAGUUGCUGUGAACUUCAUUGCCUAGUUUUUCAUUAUUCCCAGUUUAUUAAUGAAGAAACUCUAAAACUUAGAUAAUAUCUAAGUUUAUUUCAUUAGAAUCCCAAACUAGAUCAAACCUGAAAUACAGUUCUUGCUCAGUAAAUGUUUGAAUUAGUGAUGUUGGUGCUUACUACUCUGCUCCCAUCUAUUAUUGCCAUGAGGGGCGUGGGCCUGGGUUUGCCAGCUUUUUUUUCCUCUUUUCCUCUUACCAGCCAGAAAUCCAGAUUUUAUAGGAAAUCUGUUUUUUUUUUUUUUGAUGUUGCCAACUAAUUGAAGAGUACUUAGGUACCAUGGAUCAAAUGUAAUGUAUCUAUGGGUUAGGUUGGCUCUCAUUUUGUAAUCUAGAUAUUCAGAUAAUUAGCUGUAGGUAGUCUGUAAAUCUCUUAGCAUUUAUGUUAACAAAGCCCACCUUGUUAAUUGGUCACUGGUUUGCAGUAGGACUGAUUUCAGCGAUGGCAGGCAUAGUCAAUUCUUGAAAGUAGUAUCUAUAGUUUCAGAUUGUUGGGUUGUAUGUGUGCAUUUAGGCUAAAAUAUACAUGUAGGCUUCAGAGCUGCACCGUGUAAACUGUGAGGGAGUGACAUUCACAAUCCACUUUUUCUUUCAAUGAGUGAUUGCUUGUUUUAGGCAUGUGUUAGUACUAUUUGGUUUGUACCCAUUGUAUUAACCUCUUAGGUGUUUGAAAUCCUACUGGCAUGCAAAGAUUGCUUUGCCUAGAAAAUAUUUUUUUUUGCUCAGAGUGUGUCUGUGGAAUUAAAAAUAGUUUACCCAUGAUCCCUGGAAAAUAGUAUUACCAUGAAAAAAAUUCAGGUGCUCUCUUUGUAAAGAUUAUAGAGCAGGGAGGUGAUGACAUUUUUAUUUUUGACCAGGCUUUGUGUUUCCAUAAAAUAGAAGCCAAGUGAUUACCUUGAUUAACCUUCGUUUUUUGUCUUUUGUUUUUUUUUUCACUCACACUCCAGAUAGAUAACAUCAAAUUGCAAAUAAAACGAACUCAGAUCCCAAGUUGUUCUUACCUACCUUUUGGCCCAAGGUGUAAUUGAUUUGUUUUGUUUCCCCUUCCAAUCAUUUUUACUAUGAUUACAGUCCCAGGUAAGGUAAUUUCUAUCCACUUUGGGCAUACCUCAGUAGAGGUUGGUGUAGAUGAAAGCUUAAAAAUGAAAUUGCAAGUGAAAGCACAGACUUAGCAAAACUUUCUUUAUUGGAGCCCUCAAUCCUCAUAAACUGGCAUUUUUCUGCUUCUGCCCCAGAAUCGAGAAUUCCUGGUUUUGUCUUUGUUUAGACUUGAGUUUUUAAAAGUUUCUCUGUAACACCUACCCUGGUGGUUAAAUGCUUUAAUUUUGUCAGGUGAAGAAACCAAGUGCAGUUAUGGUAGCCAGGUUGCUGUGGAUAUAAUCCAGUUUGAGAAAAUUCUCAUUGUGGUGAUCAGAAGUGCAGUGUUGUGGUUGCAUUUCAGCUGCUGGGAAGAUGCUCCUGCAAAUCCAUGUGUCAUCUUUGCUUCCGUUAGAAAGGUGCAGAAUCAGUGUAAGUUACAGAUAUCUGCUCCCUUUUCAUUUUGUGCUCAGAUGCCCUGUAUAUGAAUUCUGAAUAUAAAACAUCUGUUCAGUCUGGUUUUGAUUCAGAUUUAAGGUGAAUUUCUGUUGCUCAGUUGAAAAGCUAAAUUUGAGCGUAGGCUCUGUCAGGCAUGUUGUAGGAAAGGUGUAUGGUACUGAAGUGUGUGGUUUUGUUUUUUAACUGCUUGACACUGUUAAGUAAGCAAAUGACCCAGUCAUGGGUUGUUUUGAUUGCCAUUCUUCUGUUGGUGUACUGCUUGCCUUCUGUUUUGUUAAUAGUCAUAUGAGAAAACAGUUGUAUGAAGUAUAGUAUCUUGAAGCUUUAAGACACCAAGUUUCCAUUAGGCAGUCUGAGUCUUGCAGACUUUGGUAGCACUAUUGGUCUCAUGGGACUGCCAUUCUCAUGUGUGGACUAAGUAAGGGCCAGGAGGUUUUGCAAAUUUUGUGUGUGUAAGAAGAUUGAAGAAAACAUUUUUCCUAAUGUCAUUGUCUUGAGUAUUUUAUCUGAUUAGGAUGGACUCAUUGGAAACUAUUGAUAAUUUCAAGAUUUCCUGUCAUCUGGCAUACAAAGAAAACAGUCGUGACCCUAUUUCCCUGGAUUUUUCUAUCCCUGUACUUGUCCUAUGUUUGCAAUGCAAGAGGAAAAUCCAGCUGCCUUUAUAAUCUAGAAUACCAUGUUUCUGUUUUUAUUUCUUAGGUUUAAUUCAGGGCGUAAUUUCUACCAGUCCCUCCAAAUACUGUUAAAGUUACCCUUUUUGUGGUCUUACUUCUUACUUCUUGAGUGUUAUGUUCUCCAAACCUUGGGGAAAAUUAGAAAGUUUUAAAGUUUUCCAACUAAAAAGUAUCUUUCAGAGGAAAUACCCCGAUUCCUGAAUCUUCUAUUUAUAACUUGGCCUGGAGAAUUAUAAUCUGGUCUACCAGGAAGUUGCUUGUGCUUAGAUUUUCUGCCUUAGUCACAUGGAAAGAUGAGCAGAAGCGAUUUCCUUCUAGAAACAUUUUCUAGAAACAUAAAAUUGGAACCAAGUAGACUGAGAACAGAAAAAAACACAAAAUUGACCUGGUAGGAUGUUUUACCUCUAUAAACCUUAUAGUUGCUAGCCUUUGAGGGAGGCUAGAUGAGUUGAUAAUAAUGCCUAACCUUAGCAAUGGAUUGAAGUAGGGGUGCAGGGGUUAUGUAGGUGUGUAUAUGUAUUUAAGAUAUAUAUAUACACCUGCAUAUUAUACACACAUAUAUACAAUUCUCUUGAAUCCUUAGCCAUCUAACAUUAGGUAGAGUGAUUUCCAUUUUACAAAUGGAAAAACUGAAGAAUUAAAACACAGACUUGGUCAUAUAUAAUGGUAAAUACAGUAGUUUAAUGAAAUUUUGUAUUGUACCUAUCACUCAGCUUCAACUGUUAAUUUCCAGUCUCCUCACCUCUAUUUUAUCUUAAAAUUUUUUUCAUUAAUUUCCCUUGGCUAACAUGACUAAAAAAAAUUUCAGACUUAAAGAGCAGUUCAUUUAACACUUGCAUGAUUUUUGCCUAGAUCACUAAUUGUUAGAAUAUGCCUUAUUUUAUCUUUUUUUAACUGCAUUAUUUUGAGAGUUGCAGACAUCUUGACAUACCUUUCUUAGGAAUAAGGGCCUUCUUCCUAACCACAACAUAGCCAUCACAUUCAAAAUGGACAUUGAUACGAUACUACCACCAAAUACUCAAUUCAUAUAGAAAUUUACGCUGUUCUUCCAGUAAUAGUUUUUAGUGUUUUAAUUCAGUAUUCAAUCAAGGAUCGUGUAUUUACUUGUUUAGUCUCCUUGAACAGUUCCAAAGCCUUUGUCAUUAAACAGUGGCACUUUGAGGAGUUUGGAGUCCAGGGCUACUGUUUUGCAGAAACCCUCACUUUGGAGUUGACUGUAGUUGUGUUUUCAUGAUUAGAGUUAGAUUAGCCAUUGUUGACAGGAAUGAGUAUUUCAUAGGGAUGUCAGUGCAUCACAUCGGGAGGCAUACCACUUUGUUAAGCGGUCAUUUGGUUAGGUGGCAUUCACCAGAAUGCGCCAUUGUAAAUGUACCCUAUUUCCCUUUUUUUAUUAAGUGAUCUAUGGAAUAACAAACUUGAGACUGAAUAUUUUGUUCUCCAACAAUCUGCAUUGGUUUUAGCAUCUGUUGGUGACUGAAUCAGUUAUUGCAGGAGUACUUUAAAGCAAACUUAGAUAUAUCAUUUCACCUGUAAGUAAUUAGUAUGUAAGAAAUAAGGACUUUUUUUUUUUUUUUUUUUUUGAGACCGAGUCUCGCUCUUUCGCCCAGGGUGGAGUGUAGUGGCGCGAUCUUGGCUCACUGCAAGCUCUGCCUCCCGGGUUCACGCCAUUCUCCUGCCUCAGUCCCAACUGGGACUGGGACUACAGGUGCCUGCCACCGCGCCCAGCUAAUUUUUUGUAGUUUUAGUAGAGACAGGGUUUCACUGUGUUAGCCAGGGUGGUCUCGAUCUCCUGACCUUGUGAUCCACCCGCCUCGGCCUCCCAACCGUAGUGCCUUUACACCUAACUACAAUUCCUUAACACCUCAUGUUCAUGUUCAAAUUCCCUGAAUUGUCAAAAGGGUCUUUCUACAGUUUUGGUUGACUCUGAAUCUAAACAAGGUCCACAAAUUAUGUUUGCUUAAUGACCUUAAGUCUCUUACUCUGUAAUAGCUUCUUCCCCCACUCUUUACCUUUCCGGAUUUGGCUGGUCACAUGCUGUUUAUAUAUAUUCUUCUAUUCCAGGUAAUUUCUGUAGACCCAUAGGUUCUAGAAAUUAGAUUCAGGUUUUGUUUUGUAAGAGCACUUAAGUGGUCUUGGGAGGGAUAGAUCACAUCAAGAGGGACACAUGUCUGCAUUUUAGAGAAAAGAUUAAUUCUUGGUGUGGGUACAGAUGUUAUCAGCCACACGCGUCCAUUUUGAAGUCCCGCAGCAGCCUUUCUCCUGAAAAUUGUAGCAUCCCUAUACUCAUAGCCUGGGUGCAUUACUUCAGGGCUUACCGGUGGUGAUUUUUCUCAUUACAUUAGUCCUUUUGCAUCAGUUAGCUGGAUUUUAUCUGACUUGUGUUUAUUUCUAGUUUGUGUGUGUGUGUGUGUAUAUAUGUCUUCCUGAAAGGUGUUGUAAAAGGAUGCAUUCUUCAUCUUUAUUUCAGAAAGGAUGUUCAUGAACUCCCUUAGUGAUCCUCUCAAAUGUCCUCAGUUUUCUCAUUUGUAAAUUGGGGAUCAUUAUCAUGUCUGCCUCUUGGGGUUUUUGUUAGGAUUAGAUGAGCUCAAACAUGUAGUGUAAAAAUAGUGGUUGGCACAUGAUGUUUGGUAAAUGCUAGUUACUAAGGUAACUUCUUUAGUUUUGUGGGAACUCUGAACCCAAGUGUAAUGGAGAGGUGGAAGAGGGAGUUCUUCAUGAGUUGACAUCAGGGUGCUUGGGUUUCUGUUGGGUGAGCUGAAGGGAAUUGUUGCUUGCUAGCACUGACCUGCUCUUUCAGCUGUGUGGGAACGGUUGCCAGACAGACACGCACAAGGAAGGUCUGCACAUAUCACUGCACACUAAGAGGUGGAUGUCGACCGUUGCAGCAGUAAAACUCGAAACACAUUCCACAGUGGAGUUAGCACAGUGAAGGGAAGUGGGCCAGACUGGUGGUAGGUGGUAGGUUGAGGGAGAUGGUGGCUCCAGAUACAGGUUUUUACUAUGUCAUGGGCCACUGAGAUUUUCAUCUGAAUGAACAUAUUUGUCUAGUCCAGUUUGCCUUGUCAUUACAUAUACCCUCAACUGGAGCUAUUUGAGAUUGCAGAUCACUGGUGGAGGAGGGAGGAGGCUCUUUUUCCCUUUAGGCCUGUUUAAUCUGCAUCUCUUGUUGCUUAAAAAACCCACUGUUGGUGGUAAUGUAGGAUAUUGGAAGUUUAGUAGUCUUGAUGGCGAAGAACUUAGUUGUUAAUAUUUGAUUUUUUUAUUUAACAAACAUUUGAGCACCUGUAAUAUGUAAGAUGAUGUUGUGGACACUAGGACACAUCAGGGAACAACACAGAAAAUUCUACCCUCAUGGAGUUUACAUACAUGGUAGUGAGGAGACAGAAGAAACGUUUAAGUUUUAUAGCGUGUUAGGUGUUGAGUACUAUGGAUAAAUACAAAGUUGGAAGGGGAGGCAUUGAGAUGGUCAGGGAAGUUACUUUUGUUCAAAGGCGUAAAAGGAGAGGAGACAGGUCUUGUGGAAAUCUAGGGUUACAAAGUGUUGCCUGCAUAGGAAACAGCCAGUCCCAGAGGCUAGUUUGGUCCAUUGUGAUGAAAGGGUUGACUGCUUGCUGUGCUAGUGCCCUGUAGUGGGCCAAGGGCAGAAGCAUGGAGACAAGUGAUCUGGAUGAGAUAGAAUGGUGAUUUGAACCAAGGUGCUAGUAGUUGUCUUUGAUUCUGGAUGUAUUUUAAGUAGAGCCAACAGGCUUUGCUGAUGGAUUGAUUGCAUGUGGGUUGAGGGAGAAAGUGAGCAGUCAAGGAUGACUAAAAUUUUUGGACUGAGCAAUAGUGAGGAUGAAGUUGCUGUUCUGAGAUGGGGAGGAUUGAGAGUAGAACAGGUUUUUUGGGCAAGAGCAAAUUAUUCAUACCCCUGAACAACAGGCAACUGCAACACUUCAUCCAUUAAGAGCAGUUGUCCAUAAAUUUUACUGUGAGAACCCUUGCAUCUGUAGAUUGUACAGCUAAUUCUUCUAACUUAAUGUUUUAAAGUAGUGGGAGUUGAUAGAUAAAGAUUGGCUUAGAUAGAAUCCUAUAGCCUGUGAUGACUGGGUCAAGUGUAGAAUACACCUGAAGACUUACUAUUUUUCCCCCUCUGGUGGAAUGACUAAUUAACACUGAUAAAAAGAAUGAAGGCAGAAAGCCUUGAACUUGGAUGGUGAGACCAUAGAUAAGUCUGGUCUUACAGCUGACUCAUCAGGGCUUUGCUGUAUGUGAAGCCUAUGCCUGGGACUUCUUUUUACUUUUAAUCUCUUCAUUUUCUCCAUACACAUCCAUUCACAUGAUCACACAAAGAUUUCAGCUGGUUUUUAUCUUACGUACUGUUUGCAGUCUUACUUUGUUAACAGUUGUUACGUAUCCAUCUUGUGUAUUUUCAAGCACAACUUUUUAAACAUGCAUGAUCUUUUAUCAAUAUCGUUAAUGUUUCUUCCUGUCAGUAAUGUCCUUUUCACUGAAGGUAGUAUUGCAUAGUGAUUAAGGGCAAAAGCUAUUUAGACAUAGAUGUGAGUGCACAUCCUGGCUUUAACACAGACAGCUGUGGCCUGGGGUGAGUUAUACUACCUCAUGGCUUCAGUUUUCUCAUCUGUAAAAUGGUCAUGAUAAUUGUACUUAUCUCAUGAUUGUUAUAAGGAUUAAAGUAAUGCACAUAAAACUAGACACAGUACCUAGAUGGUGUUAGGACUUAGAUUAGUGUUUUUUGUUUUUUUUUAAUUUCCAUUAUUUAUAACUCAUCUUUGAUAAACAGUCUUUUACAAGCAGAUAGUGUUGAGCCUCUUGAAUUCUUCUCAUUGAGUUGCACAAAUGUUUGGUCAAGAUUACAUAGUGAUAGGCAUUGCUGCUCUGUUAUUUCUUAUUUUCUUUUCUUUUUGAGACAGUCUCACUUUGUUGCCCAGGCUGGAGUGCAGAGGCGUGAUCUCGGCUCACUGCAACCUCCACCUCUCUGGGUUCAAGCGAUCCUCUUGCCACAGCCUCCUGAGUAGCUGGGAUUACAGGCAUGUGCUACCACACCUGGCUGAUUUUUGUGUUUUUUUAGAGAUGAGAUUUGGCCAGGCAGGUCUCGAACUCCUGGACUCAAGUGAUCCACCCGCCUUGGCCUCCCAAAGUGCUGGGAUUACAGGUGCGAGUCACCACGCCCGGCCUGUUAUUUCAUGUUUUCAUUUAUCUUUAACAAAAUGGGUUGUUGGGAGUUUGCUCCUAUAUGUGAUCUAGUAUUAUUCACAUAAAAGUUAAAACCAGUAGUGGUUUCAUAGUUGUUCUUCCCUCCCUGACUGACAUAUCUACAAGGUCUUAUUUCUCUGAGAUUUCUAUAAAAAAAUUCAUGAUGAGCCAAACUUAUUGGUAGAAUCAGGUUAAAAUGAAUAUAUCUUGGGCGGAGUGUAUAUGGACGAAGUAAAUCUGGUGGUUUAUGAACUUUUCUAGGUGAAUAAGAUUUUAUUUGAGGAAAUGGUUUACUUUGGAAAUUAUCCAUUCUUAACCCCUCUCCACUCCUGUCCCAGGAGAAACUGAUAAAAGUAGAGCUGUUCUGGUGGUAGAGGGUUGGGAGGAGGGCCGCAGUCCCUCCCUACUCUGCCUCAACUUCACCUAUCAGAAUACAGCUUCAGCACCAUUUGAGUCCAAUCAGGGUUUUGUAUAAUUAAUAACUUUAAAAACUUGAGGGUGCAAGUUUAAUAGAAAUGUUUUGUCAAAAAGAUUUAAGGGCAAAUUCUUUAUAUUUUAGGGAUGGUUAAAACAUUACGGUACAGGUUGAAUAUCCCUUAUCUUAAAUGCUUGGGACCAGAAGUGUUUUGGUUUGUGGGAUAUUGCAUAUUACUUGGUGGCUGAGCAUCCCAAAUCUGAACAUCCCAAACUCAAAGUGCUCCAGUGAGCAUUUCCUUUGAGCAUCAUGUCAGUGCUCAAAAAGUUUUGGAUUUGGGAGGAGCAUUUCAGAUUUUGGAUUUUUGCAUUAGGGAUUCUUAAUCUGUAGUGUUGUCUUUAGCUCCACUUACAAUUUAAAACUGGCUGGAGUUCAGGCCAGUUAUAUUAGGAAAACCUGUUUUGCUCUUUGUGGUACUGAUGAACCGCUACAGUAUCCUUGCUCCAUAUUUUUAAAGUAAGCAGGAGUUGAGGACAGUCUGUGUGAGUACACAUACACUCUGUAUCAAGCGUUGGUAGUCUAUUCCACCACUGGAAUUUGCUUUCCUAGACCUUAAGUCAAGGUGACAAAAGUGAAAGCAUGUAUGAAAAGUCUUAAGAAUUUUAUAUACAUUUUUUUCUUUUUGUAUUUUACUUGAAGUGAUUAAGUAGGAGCUAAUAGUUGAUGGGACAGUUGGGAGUCUGAAAUGUUUGAGAGAGCUGCAUCUUUAAUGCAUCAUUUUAUCUAAUUCUUCUAUGUAUAAAUAACUUGGGAAAAUCCUAAUAUGCCUUGCACAUAGUUGACAGUUUAAUUUGAAAGGAACUAAUAUCACUUCUAGUAUAUUCAGGUUGUAGGGAGUAAACUGACAUUUACUGAGCCAUCUCCCCAUUGCACUGGGCAAUACUAGCUUUCUCUGUUACUUAUUCCCUAUAAAUGAUAAGGAGCAAGUUGGUUUCAUUUUAAAAGCCAGACAGUUGAGACUUGUUGAGGCUCAUAGAGUUGAAGUUGUUGCCUGAGAUCCUACAGUUAGGAAGUGACGGAGCAUGGAACCGAGCCCUUAAAAACUGCUGUUUUCUUCUGCACCAUGCCACCUGCAUAGAUGUGGUACCUACACCCACCUCCCUUCUUACAGAAUCGUGAAAUCUGUCUGUUGGGGUGGGGAGAAAACAAGCUUGGGUAUGCCCAUGUUUUUUAUUUUUGGUAGGUUACACAAAAGUGAUUGUAAUUCAGGUAAUUAGGUUUUCAGAGGUGUCUGUGUGUUUUAUAACCCUCAAAUUAUUAGCUGGCUAAGUGAAUAUUUUUCAUUUGGAUCAGAGGAUGAGCAGGGCUCAUCAAGCUUACCAUUGACAGAGUGCUGGACUAGGCGUCUCAGAUUGUAUCUUGAGUGUGUAGUUUGUAAAUUGACUCCAAAGCUAAAGAGGUGGUUGUUUGGUCACGUUUAAGAUUAUUGCGUACUACUCUUUGCAGGCCCGCCUGUGUCAUUGAACUUAUUAUGACUUGAAGCCCUGAGUAUAGGAGAUAAUUUUUCUUGUUCCUUGUUUGGUUUUUGUGGCAGGUGGUUUUUUAUUUUAUUAUUUUUUCGAUAGAGUGCCCAUAUAUCCUGCAGUUUACAGAUAGUUCCAGAAUAAGUUUCUGGUUUGGAAGAUAAAUUAUAUGGUCAUCCAGAUAGUACAAGAGAGAUUUGGUCAUGAUAACUAAUUACAUUUUGGUUAACAUGGUUAUAUCACCUGAAGGAGUGCUUAUUUAAAUUUGGUCUUACCUUUUUUUCUCUUUCUAUUUGGUCAAAUGCAGCAAAUAUUUAUAUUUACACUUCUCUAUUUGGAUUAAUUCUUUAGUUGAAAUUUAAUUUAUCCAGAUACGUGGAAUAGAACCAAAACUGCAUUCUGAUUCUGUGCACAACAAUAAAAUACUACUUUCUGAAAAGGAUGCCUUCUCUUUUGGGAAGAAGGGGAAUCUGCUCUGUUUCAAAGCACCUUUGUGUUCGAGGUUUGGCUAAAUCUGCUCAUCACCACUAGGGGACUGUUUCUUUUUGCAUUCUACAAGUAUUACUCCCAUUACAGAAGCUUUUUAAGAAAAAAAUGGACUACCAAGGAACCCACCUAUGUGCUUUUCAUAACUAUACCUAUUUUAUUGUCUCAUAAUUUUUACUUGAGAGGUUUGCCUGAAUGGUGAACUGUGACAAAAA